UAUUCAGUUGUCCGACGAUGACCGAUAAAAUCCAAAAAUCAGGGACUCAAAAUCCCCCGCCCCAAGGCGUGCCGGUUCGAUUCCGGCCCUGGGCACCA
Molecule: transfer RNA, 98 nt
Filed under: Burkholderia pseudomallei K96243
Lineage: Bacteria; Pseudomonadati; Pseudomonadota; Betaproteobacteria; Burkholderiales; Burkholderiaceae
Also listed under: 4 other names
Description: tRNA-Leu (CAA) (tRNA-Leu-CAA-2-1)
Source: RNAcentral